This 254-nucleotide ribosomal RNA is filed under the name uncultured bacterium. Its description in RNAcentral is "partial 16S ribosomal RNA". It matches the Rfam family "Bacterial small subunit ribosomal RNA", at positions 524 to 776 of the family's 1533-position model. The record is from RNAcentral.
UACGUAGGGUGCAAGCGUUGUCCGGAAUUAUUGGGCGUAAAGAGCUCGUAGGCGGUCUGUCGCGUCUGCUGUGAAAACUCGGGGCUUAACCCCGGGCCUGCAGUGGGUACGGGCAGACUAGAGUGCGGUAGGGGGAGACUGGAAUUCCUGGUGUAGCGGUGAAAUGCGCAGAUAUCAGGAGGAACACCGGUGGCGAAGGCGGGUCUCUGGGCCGUAACUGACGCUGAGGAGCGAAAGUGUGGGGAGCGAACAGG